Long non-coding RNA from Nylanderia fulva, 543 nucleotides. RefSeq lists it as uncharacterized. Lineage: Eukaryota; Metazoa; Arthropoda; Insecta; Hymenoptera; Formicidae. The record is from RefSeq and is a predicted model, not a curated record.
CGUGCCUGUACGAAGUCGCGUCUUCUUGUCUUGUGCUCGCUCGAUUUCAAACGUUUCGUUUCAAAGGGAGAACCAACAAUUGUAAUAUAAGUGAUAUAAAACUAUGAAGUCACCGGAUGAUAAUUAAAAAAUGAAACGAAAAGAACGGAGGAACUAGAAAGAGAGAUAGAGGCCAAUGUCGCCGCUCUGAGAAUAACGACAUUAACAUUACCGGUAGUUCCAAGUAGGUCGCAACAGUCGAGAUAAACGAGCGAUCGAGACCAAUGACCACUCCUUGACCUAGACGUCUCGGCAUUAACCUGGUCCGACCUACUCUUCAUCCUGAUUUUGUUCGGAGCAAGCAAUGUCACGAGGACGCGUGAUCGUAAAAGUUGCGGCCUACCGAAGACAUCGGUAUAUUAUUGUAUUAAUACUUUAUCAAUACCGCAGGGAACGGAUGUAUGUUGCAACUUGACGUAUGUAUUUGCAAUGAGAUACCCUAUAUCACGCAAUUAUGCAUUUCGAUGACAAAGUGAGGUAAAUAAAUAUCCCUUUUAGAUUUUA